AGAGUUUGAUCAUGGCUCAAGACGAACGCUGGCGGCGUGCUUAACACAUGCAAGUCGAACGGAGUGCUCCGGAAAGAGAUUUCGGUCAAUGGAUGGAGUUACUUAGUGGCGGACGGGUGAGUAACGCGUGAGGAACCUGCCUUUCAGAGGGGGACAACAGUUGGAAACGACUGCUAAUACCGCAUAACGCAUGGGUAUCGCAUGGUAUCUGUGCCAAAGAUUUAUCGCUGAGAGAUGGCCUCGCGUCUGAUUAGCUAGUUGGUGAGGUAACGGCCCACCAAGGCGACGAUCAGUAGCCGGACUGAGAGGUUGGCCGGCCACAUUGGGACUGAGAUACGGCCCAGACUCCUACGGGAGGCAGCAGUGGGGAAUAUUGGGCAAUGGGCGCAAGCCUGACCCAGCAACGCCGCGUGAAGGAAGAAAGCUUUCGGGUUGUAAACUUCUUUUAAGAGGGAAGAGCAGAAGACGGUACCUCUUGAAUAAGCCACGGCUAACUACGUGCCAGCAGCCGCGGUAAUACGUAGGUGGCAAGCGUUGUCCGGAUUUACUGGGUGUAAAGGGCGUGUAGCCGGGCUGACAAGUCAGAUGUGAAAUUCCGGGGCUCAACCCCGGACCUGCAUUUGAAACUGUUGGUCUUG
This 638-nucleotide ribosomal RNA is filed under the name uncultured bacterium. RNAcentral describes it as "bacterial SSU rRNA". It matches the Rfam family "Bacterial small subunit ribosomal RNA", at positions 8 to 644 of the family's 1533-position model. The record is from RNAcentral.